UACGUAGGGUGCAAGCGUUGUCCGGAAUUAUUGGGCGUAAAGAGCUCGUAGGCGGUCUGUCGCGUCUGCUGUGAAAACUCAGGGCUUAACCCUGAGCUUGCAGUGGGUACGGGCAGACUAGAGUGCGGUAGGGGAGACUGGAAUUCCUGGUGUAGCGGUGAAAUGCGCAGAUAUCAGGAGGAACACCCGGUGGCGAAGGCGGGGUCUCUGGGCCGAGUACUGACGCUGGAGGAGCGAAAGCGUGGGGAGCGAACAGG
RNAcentral lists this ribosomal RNA (257 nucleotides) under uncultured bacterium. Its description in RNAcentral is "partial 16S ribosomal RNA". It matches the Rfam family "Bacterial small subunit ribosomal RNA", at positions 524 to 776 of the family's 1533-position model. The record is from RNAcentral.